CCUACGGGUGGCAGCAGUCGAGAAUCAUUCACAAUGGGGGAAACCCUGAUGGUGCGACGCCGCGUGGGGGAAUGAAGGUCUUCGGAUUGUAAACCCCUGUCAUGUGGGAGCAAAUUAAAAAGAUAGUACCACAAGAGGAAGAGAUGGCUAACUAUGUGCCAGCAGCCGCGGUAAUACAGAGGUCUCAAGCGUUGUUCGGAAUGACUGGGUGUAAAGUGUGCGUAGGAUGUUUGGUAAGUCGUGUGUGAAAGGCGCGGGCUCAACCCGCGGACUGCAAAUGAUACUGGGAGCCUAGAGUAAUGGAGAGGGAACCGGAAUUCUCGGUGUAGCAGUGAAAUGCGUAGAUAUCGAGAAGAACACUCGUGGCGAAGGCGGGUUCCUGGACAUUAACUGACGCUGAGGCACGAAGGCCAGGGGAGCGAAAGGGAUUAGAUACCCCAGUAGUC
RNAcentral lists this ribosomal RNA (446 nucleotides) under uncultured bacterium. Its description in RNAcentral is "partial 16S ribosomal RNA". It matches the Rfam family "Bacterial small subunit ribosomal RNA", at positions 338 to 795 of the family's 1533-position model. The record is from RNAcentral.